GGCCAGACUCCUACGGGAGGCAGCAGUGGGGAAUAUUGCACAAUGGGGGAAACCCUGAUGCAGCGACGCCGCGUGAGUGAAGAAGUAUUUCGGUAUGUAAAGCUCUAUCAGCAGGAAAGAAAAUGACGGUACCUGACUAAGAAGCCCCGGCUAACUACGUGCCAGCAGCCGCGGUAAUACGUAGGGGGCAAGCGUUAUCCGGAUUUACUGGGUGUAAAGGGAGCGUAGACGGUGAAGCAAGUCUGAAGUGAAGGGCGGGGGUCAAACCCCGGACUGCUUUGGAAACUGUUUGACUGGAGUGCAGGAGAGGUAAGUGGAAUUCCUAGUGUAGCGGUGAAAUGCGUAGAUAUUAGGAGGAACACCAGUGGCGAAGGCGGCUUACUGGACUGUAACUGACGUUGAGGCUCGAAAGCGUGGGGAGCAAACAGGAUUAGAUACCCGAGUAA
RNAcentral lists this ribosomal RNA (446 nucleotides) under uncultured bacterium. RNAcentral's name for it is "bacterial SSU rRNA". It matches the Rfam family "Bacterial small subunit ribosomal RNA", at positions 329 to 793 of the family's 1533-position model. The record is from RNAcentral.